CUGAACUGGUUCACAGGUCCUUCGAGGAUCAAAAGGCUCCAUCAAGUUCUGCUGGACCAGUAGGCCUUGAUUGUCUGUGGAGUUAUUGAACUUAAAUUAGAAAAAAAUAUAAAAUAUAUUGAGCUGUCAUUGCUGUUAUAUAAGUGUGGUCUCUGUAAAUAUUCAUCCAAAAGAUAGGAAUUCAAGGCUUUGCAUGUAGCAUAAGCUAUGAAGUUACCCUUUUUUUUUUUUCUUAGAUUUCCUACUAUCCAUUAAAUGCACCCUAGUCUUUCCAUGCC
RNAcentral lists this unclassified non-coding RNA (278 nucleotides) under Hevea brasiliensis (rubber tree). Lineage: Eukaryota; Viridiplantae; Streptophyta; Magnoliopsida; Malpighiales; Euphorbiaceae. The record is from RNAcentral.